AAUUCGAAGCAACGCGCAGAACCUUACUACCCUUGACAUGUCCAGUAUGGUCACCAGAGAUGGAGUCCUUCAGUUCGGCUGGCUGGAACACAGGUGCUGCAUGGCUGUCGUCAGCUCGUGUCGUGAGAUGUUGGGUUAAGUCCCGCAACGAGCGCAACCCUUGCUUCUAGUUGCCAGCAUUAAGUUGGGCACUCUAGAGGGACUGCCGGUGAUAAGCCGGAGGAAGGUGGGGAUGACGUCAAGUCCUCAUGGCCCUUACGGGUAGGGCUACACACGUGCUACAAUGGCGGUGACAGUGGGCAGCGACACAGCGAUGUGAUGCUAAUCCCAAAAAGCCGUCUCAGUUCAGAUUGCAGCCUGCAACUCGGCUGCAUGAAGUUGGAAUCGCUAGUAAUCGCUAAUCAGCAGGUAGCGGUGAAUACGUUCCCGGGCCUU
This 435-nucleotide ribosomal RNA is filed under the name uncultured Nordella sp. Its description in RNAcentral is "bacterial SSU rRNA". It matches the Rfam family "Bacterial small subunit ribosomal RNA", at positions 948 to 1382 of the family's 1533-position model. Lineage: Bacteria; Pseudomonadati; Pseudomonadota; Alphaproteobacteria; Hyphomicrobiales. The record is from RNAcentral.